AGUAACGCGUGGGUAACCUGCCUCAUACAGGGGGACAACAGUUAGAAAUGACUGCUAAUACCGCAUAAGCGCACAGUGCUGCAUGGCACAGUGUGAAAAACUCCGGUGGUAUGAGAUGGACCCGCGUCUGAUUAGCUAGUUGGUGGGGUAACGGCCUACCAAGGCGACGAUCAGUAGCCGACCUGAGAGGGUGACCGGCCACAUUGGGACUGAGACACGGCCCAA
Molecule: ribosomal RNA, 225 nt
Filed under: uncultured bacterium
Lineage: Bacteria
Description: partial 16S ribosomal RNA
Rfam family: Bacterial small subunit ribosomal RNA
Source: RNAcentral